GUGCUCGCUACGGCAGCACAUAUACUAAAAUUGGAACGAUAUAGAGAUUUGCAUGGCCCCUGUGUAAGGAUGACAUGCAAAAUUUAAUCAAAAUUUGAAUCUCAA
This is a small nuclear RNA of Suncus etruscus (white-toothed pygmy shrew), 105 nucleotides long. The record is from RefSeq and is a predicted model, not a curated record. Lineage: Eukaryota; Metazoa; Chordata; Mammalia; Eulipotyphla; Soricidae.